AUUGAACGCUGGCGGCAUGCCUUACACAUGCAAGUCGAACGGCAGCACGGGAGCUUGCUCCUGGUGGCGAGUGGCGAACGGGUGAGUAAUACAUCGGAACGUACCCUGAAGUGGGGGAUAACGUAGCGAAAGUUACGCUAAUACCGCAUAUUCUGUGAGCAGGAAAGAGGGGGAUCGCAAGACCUCUUGCUUUAGGAGCGGCCGAUGUCGGAUUAGCUAGUUGGUGAGGUAAAGGCUCACCAAGGCGACGAUCCGUAGCGGGUCUGAGAGGAUGAUCCGCCACACUGGGACUUGAGACACGGCCCAGACUCCUACGGGAGGCAGCAGUGGGAAUUUUGGACAAUGGGCGCAAGCCUGAUCCAGCCAUGCCGCGUGAGUGAAGAAGGCC
This 388-nucleotide ribosomal RNA is filed under the name uncultured bacterium. RNAcentral describes it as "bacterial SSU rRNA". It matches the Rfam family "Bacterial small subunit ribosomal RNA", at positions 30 to 416 of the family's 1533-position model. The record is from RNAcentral.